GACGAACGCUGGCGGCGUGCUUAACACAUGCAAGUCGAACGGUAAGGCCCUUCGGGGUAUACGAGUGGCGAACGGGUGAGUAACACGUGGGUGAUCUGCCCUGCACUUCGGGAUAAGCCUGGGAAACUGGGUCUAAUACCGGAUAGGACUCCGGACUGCAUGGUCUGGGGUGGAAAGCUUUUGCGGUGUGGGAUGGGCCCGCGGCCUAUCAGCUUGUUGGUGGGGUGAUGGCCUACCAAGGCGACGACGGGUAGCCGGCCUGAGAGGGUGACCGGCCACACUGGGACUGAGAUACGGCCCAGACUCCUACGGGAGGCAGCAGUGGGGAAUAUUGCACAAUGGGCGCAAGCCUGGUGCAGUGACGCCGCGUGAGGGAUGACGGCCUUCGGGUUGUAAACCUCUUUCAGCAUCGACGAAGCGAAAGUGACGGUAGGUGCAGAAGAAGGACCGGCCAACUACGUGCCAGCCGCCGCGGUAA
RNAcentral lists this ribosomal RNA (478 nucleotides) under uncultured bacterium. RNAcentral's name for it is "partial 16S ribosomal RNA". It matches the Rfam family "Bacterial small subunit ribosomal RNA", at positions 28 to 523 of the family's 1533-position model. The record is from RNAcentral.